GAGCUGAAUCCGACGCCGGGUUUGCUGAACAUGUCGGCGUCGGAUUCAGCUCUGCCGGAGGAGCUAUGGAGGCGAAUCCUUGAAAUCGGAAUUGAAUCCUCCAACUUCAACUACAAAGAUCUUUGUUGUCUCUCCAUAACUUGCACCCUCCUCAAUCGACUCUCCUCCGAUGAUUCUCUCUGGUCCUCGUUGUUCUUCGCCGAUUUUCCCCAAUAUCAAC
This 220-nucleotide unclassified non-coding RNA is filed under the name Hevea brasiliensis (rubber tree). Lineage: Eukaryota; Viridiplantae; Streptophyta; Magnoliopsida; Malpighiales; Euphorbiaceae. The record is from RNAcentral.